This 1241-nucleotide long non-coding RNA is filed under the name Felis catus (domestic cat). RNAcentral describes it as "lncRNA (ENSFCAG00000048749.1)". Lineage: Eukaryota; Metazoa; Chordata; Mammalia; Carnivora; Felidae. The record is from RNAcentral.
GCUGGUCCGGGCACUGUUGGGAAGGCAGGAGACAGAGGAUAGAAAGUGAAAACACAAUUGCAAUGCGGUGUCAUAAGGGUCAUGGCAGAGCUAAGCUCAGUGGCUCCAGAAACACAGAGGAGAAAGCUAUUAUCCCUGCCUUCCUAGGCGGAGGGCAACCAGGAGAGGCCGGUGAUGCCAGAAUGAGAUGGAAUGUUGGCCAUGUCAGCGGCCCCGGUUGGACAGGGAGGGGGAGGAGGACGGUGAAGCAUUAGACCUUGGGAUCCCCACCAUGGAGAUGACCUGUGCGGGGCGCUGAGCCCUGAUGGGUCUCAAACCAUGAAGAGCGACGUGGUCAGGUUUGUAGUCUCAAGUUUGCCUUCGGGGUCGCCGUGUGAGAGCGGGCGGGGCUCAGCCAGGGGGAGAGAGAGAGAGAGAGAGAGAGAAGCAGGCUGGCCUGGCCUGUUGGAGACAACAUGCGCCAUGCUAAUGAGAGGAAAUAGAAAAUGUAAUUAACAUGUCUGCCACCAGAAAUGAGAGCUAAAUCUAUUACUCUCUUCCUCCCGUUUCUAUUAUACGUUAUUGUGUUUCAAUUAUGAUUUUGAAAGUAGUUCCUUGAGGAAAUAUGUCAAGGCUCUGCAGUGGCAAAGAAGGAAAUGGGACCAUGAAAGUUUAAUUGAUCGCAGUGACUGCAUUUAGAAAAGGAAGAAGAAAAUGAAAAAGAGAAGAAAGGCGGAAAAUUUGACAGUAUUGCUGACAGGUCACCUGCUGUGAGCGGGGGGGGUGGUGGUGAGCAAGAGAAACCCGAGGUGUCUGAAUAUUUAUGGGGUCCCUUUAUGGCGUGUGGGGAGGAGGGGCGAGCAAACACGAUUCCUGCCGGCCAAGUGCGCCUUUCCAUACUCCGGGGUCCUAGGAGUCUGCUCGGUUUUUCCCUGAAGACACUGUGAGCAAGGGUUUGAGGACAGUUUGAGGGGCAAGAGCAGUGUGGCUGUGAAUGCCGGGCUGGACAUUGGGUCGGGGUGCAGGAGUGAGCAGAGAAUGAGCGAGUUAGCCACGACCCUGCUCGCAAAAACCAUGCAGUCUAGCGGUGAGUGGCAGGGGCUGAGACUAUGGGCAAGGAGGUGCGGACGGAGAGCAUCUACUUGGGGUUGAAAGAGCAAGACUGCACUCAUGGGAAGGUGGGGAGGCAGGCCAGUGAAAUGAACAGGCUACCAGUCCCUGAUUGGCAUGCUAGCCAGUGACCCCUCUCGAGGGAGGGACAC